This 422-nucleotide ribosomal RNA is filed under the name uncultured Mucilaginibacter sp. RNAcentral's name for it is "bacterial SSU rRNA". It matches the Rfam family "Bacterial small subunit ribosomal RNA", at positions 355 to 774 of the family's 1533-position model. The record is from RNAcentral. Lineage: Bacteria; Pseudomonadati; Bacteroidota; Sphingobacteriia; Sphingobacteriales; Sphingobacteriaceae.
UAAGGAAUAUUGGUCAAUGGGCGGAAGCCUGAACCAGCCAUGCCGCGUGCAGGAAGACGGCCCUACGGGUUGUAAACUGCUUUUAUACGGGAAUAAACCCUGAUACGUGUAUCAGGCUGAAUGUACUGUAAGAAUAAGGAUCGGCUAACUCCGUGCCAGCAGCCGCGGUAAUACGGAGGAUCCAAGCGUUAUCCGGAUUUAUUGGGUUUAAAGGGUGCGUAGGUGGCCUGGUAAGUCAGGGGUGAAAGACGGUAGCUUAACUAUCGCAGUGCCUUUGAUACUGCCGGGCUUGAAUAAACUAGAGGUAGGCGGAAUGUGACAAGUAGCGGUGAAAUGCAUAGAUAUGUCACAGAACACCGAUUGCGAAGGCAGCUUACUAUGGUUUGAUUGACACUGAGGCACGAAAGCGUGGGGAUCAAACA